RNAcentral lists this ribosomal RNA (495 nucleotides) under uncultured bacterium. Its description in RNAcentral is "partial 16S ribosomal RNA". It matches the Rfam family "Bacterial small subunit ribosomal RNA", at positions 28 to 507 of the family's 1533-position model. The record is from RNAcentral.
GACGAACGCUGGCGGCGUGCCUAAUACAUGCAAGUAGAACGCUGAAGGAGGAGCUUGCUUCUCUGGAUGAGUUGCGAACGGGUGAGUAACGCGUAGGUAACCUGCCUGGUAGCGGGGGAUAACUAUUGGAAACGAUAGCUAAUACCGCAUAAGAGUAGAUGUUGCAUGACAUUUGCUUAAAAGGUGCAAUUGCAUCACUACCAGAUGGACCUGCGUUGUAUUAGCUAGUUGGUGGGGUAACGGCCCACCAAGGCGACGAUACAUAGCCGACCUGAGAGGGUGGUCGGCCACACUGGGACUGAGACACGGCCCAGACUCCUACGGGAGGCAGCAGUAGGGAAUCUUCGGCAAUGGACGGAAGUCUGACCGAGCAACGCCGCGGGAGUGAAGAAGGUUUUCGGAUCGUAAAGCUCGGUUGUAAGAGAAGAACGAGUGUGAGAGUGGAAAGUUCACACUGUGACGGUAUCUUACCAGAAAGGGACGGCUAACUACGUG